UGCAGUCGAACGGAAAGGCCCUUCGGGGUACUCGAGUGGCGAACGGGUGAGUAACACGUGGGUGAUCUGCCCUGCACUUUGGGAUAAGCCUGGGAAACUGGGUCUAAUACCGAAUAUGACUGCGCACUUCCUGGUGUGUGGUGGAAAGCUUUUGCGGUGUGGGAUGGGCCCGCGGCCUAUCAGCUUGUUGGUGGGGUAAUGGCCUACCAAGGCGACGACGGGUAGCCGGCCUGAGAGGGUGACCGGCCACACUGGGACUGAGAUACGGCCCAGACUCCUACGGGAGGCAGCAGUGGGGAAUAUUGCACAAUGGGCGCAAGCCUGAUGCAGCGACGCCGCGUGAGGGAUGACGGCCUUCGGGUUGUAAACCUCUUUCAAUAGGGACGAAGCGCAAGUGACGGUACCUAUAGAAGAAGGACCGGCCAACUACGUGCCAGCAGCCGCGGUAAUACGUAGGGUCCGAGCGUUGUCCGGAAUUACUGGGCGUAAAGAGCUCGUAGGUGGUUUGUCGCGUUGUUCGUGAAAACUCACAACUCAAUUGUGGGCGUGCGGGCGAUACGGGCAGACUAGAGUACUGCAGGGGAGACUGGAAUUCCUGGUGUAGCGGUGGAAUGCGCAGAUAUCAGGAGGAACACCGGUGGCGAAGGCGGGUCUCUGGGCAGUAACUGACGCUGAGGAGCGAAAGCGUGGGGAGCGAACAGGAUUAGAUACCCUGGUAGUCCACGCCGUAAACGGUGGGUACUAGGUGUGGGUUCCUUCCUUGGGAUCCGUGCCGUAGCUAACGCAUUAAGUACCCCGCCUGGGGAGUACGGCCGCAG
This 818-nucleotide ribosomal RNA is filed under the name Mycobacterium sp. PAP3-13_Pa. Its description in RNAcentral is "bacterial SSU rRNA". It matches the Rfam family "Bacterial small subunit ribosomal RNA", at positions 56 to 891 of the family's 1533-position model. Lineage: Bacteria; Bacillati; Actinomycetota; Actinomycetes; Mycobacteriales; Mycobacteriaceae. The record is from RNAcentral.